This 377-nucleotide ribosomal RNA is filed under the name uncultured bacterium. RNAcentral's name for it is "bacterial SSU rRNA". It matches the Rfam family "Bacterial small subunit ribosomal RNA", at positions 524 to 898 of the family's 1533-position model. The record is from RNAcentral.
UACGGAGGGGGCAAGCGUUGUUCGGAUUUACUGGGCGUAAAGGGUCCGUAGGCGGUUGCGUGUGUCUGGUGUGAAAUCUUCAUCGCUCAACGGGAAGAGGCCACUGGAAACUGCGCAACUUGAGUAUGGUAGAGGCAAGCGGAAUUCCUGGUGUAGCGGUGGAAUGUGUAGAUAUCAGGAAGAACAUCGGUGGCGAAGGCGGCUUGCUGGGCCAUUACUGACGCUGAGGGACGAAAGCGUGGGGAGCAAACGGGAUUAGAUACCCCGGUAGUCCACGCUGUAAACGGUGCACACUAGGUGUGGCGGGUAUCGACCCCUGCUGUGCCGACGUUAACACAUUAAGUGUGCCGCCUGGGGAGUACGGCCGCAAGGUUGAA